UUGAGAUAAUUGAUCGAUAUUUGCGUGCUUUAGAGUCGGGUUGUUUGGGAUCGCAGCCCAAAGUCGGUGGUAAACUUCAUCUAAGACUUAAUAUUGCCACGAGACCGAUAGCAAACAAGUACUGUGAAGGAAAGUUGCAAAGCACUUUGAAGAGAGAGUUAAAGAGGACGUGAAACCGGUAAGGUGGAAACGGAUAGAGUCGGCGUAUCAUUCAAUUAUUCAGUUACAUUAUUUUUAUGUUGUGACCUCUGAGCUCCAGAUUGGGACAGAGGGAAUCAGCAUAAUUUUUUGUGGUGCAUUUACUUGAUUGGUGCUUGGGGAUGUUUGAGGCAGAUUUGUUUCCGUCGUUUUGAGGCCAGCUUGCUGGUACCCAAACGGUGUUAGCAUUUUUUGUCUUGGGCAUUUGAGUAUGGCUCACGUGUAUUUAUUGGACAGAUCUGAGUGUAAGUUACGGUCGCAUGCGACACGUGCUUUUCAAUUAGUUCGGUCCAGUUAAUGCUCUCGUACUCGUUCCCCAUGUAAAAGCCGGUCAUCUAUCCGACCCGUCUUGAAACACGGACCAAGGAGUUUAUCGUGUGCGCAAGUUUUUGGGUGUUAAAAACUUAAAAGCGAAAUGAAAGUAAAUGACUCUUUAGAGUCUGAUGUGCGAUCUUGUAAAAAAGUGUAGCAUGGCCCCAUUCUAACUGUUUACAGUAGGGUGGCGGAAGAGCGUACGCGGUGAGACCCGAAAGAUGGUGAACUAUUCCUGAGCAGGACGAA
RNAcentral lists this ribosomal RNA (759 nucleotides) under Meloidogyne incognita (southern root-knot nematode). Its description in RNAcentral is "partial 28S ribosomal RNA". It matches the Rfam family "Eukaryotic large subunit ribosomal RNA", at positions 230 to 850 of the family's 3401-position model. Lineage: Eukaryota; Metazoa; Nematoda; Chromadorea; Rhabditida; Meloidogynidae. The record is from RNAcentral.